GGGCGAAAGCCUGAUCCAGCAACGCCGCGUGAGGGAUGACGGCUUCGGGUUGUAAACCUCUUUCAGCAGGGACGAAGCGCAAGUGACGGUACCUGCAGAAGAAGCACCGGCCAACUACGUGCCAGCAGCCGCGGUAAUACGUAGGGUGCGAGCGUUGUCCGGAAUUAUUGGGCGUAAAGGGCUCGUAGGCGGUUUGUCACGUCGGGAGUGAAAACUCGGGGCUUAACCCCGAGCCUGCUUCCGAUACGGGCUGACUAGAGGUAUGCAGGGGAGAACGGAAUUCCUGGUGUAGCGGUGAAAUGCGCAGAUAUCAGGAGGAACACCGGUGGCGAAGGCGGUUCUCUGGGCAUUACCUGACGCUGAGGAGCGAAAGUGUGGGGAGCGAACAGGAUUAGAUACCCUGGUAGUCCACACCGUAAACGUUGGGCGCUAGGUGUGGGACUCAUUCCACGAGUUCCGUGCCGCAGCUAACGCAUUAAGCGCCCCGCCUGGGGAGUACGGCCGCAAGGCUA
Molecule: ribosomal RNA, 512 nt
Filed under: uncultured Actinomycetes bacterium
Lineage: Bacteria; Bacillati; Actinomycetota; Actinomycetes
Description: bacterial SSU rRNA
Rfam family: Bacterial small subunit ribosomal RNA
Source: RNAcentral